This 245-nucleotide long non-coding RNA is filed under the name Hordeum vulgare. Its description in RNAcentral is "long non-coding RNA (HVUL_LNC018617)". Lineage: Eukaryota; Viridiplantae; Streptophyta; Magnoliopsida; Poales; Poaceae. The record is from RNAcentral.
UGUUCGAGUAGACAUAGUCAAAAGGAUCAAGGUCGAUAGGCCCCGUUUCGGAGGAGUCCACGGGCUGAUCGAUGUCCGUGCCAUCAGCGUCGUAUCCUGCAAGCAUCGUUGAGACAUAACAUGUCCUGAUAGGAUUCACAUCAUAAAUGAAUAGUAUACAUGGACGAGAAGCGAAAGGCGUCUCAGAGUACCUUCACCGGCAAACAGGUAGUACUCAUCAUCCAUGAGGCCAUCGGAGAGUGCAC